UAAACUAUCUACGCUAUUGAAUGUGAGGGGGAAAAGUUCAGCUUUCCAACCGUCCUUUGGACAAUUCAUCAUUAAUGUGACCUCAAAUCAGGUAGGACUACCCGCUGAACUUAAGCAUAUCAAUAAGCGGAGGAAAAGAAACUAACAAGGAUUCCCCUAGUAACUGCGAGUGAAGCGGGAAAAGCUCAAAUUUAAAAUCUGGCGGCCUUUUGGCUGUCCGAGUUGUAAUCUAGAGAAGUGUUAUCCGCGCUGGACCGUGUACAAGUCUCCUGGAAUGGAGCAUCAUAGAGGGUGAGGAUCCCGUCUUUGACAUGGACUGCCAGGGCUUUGUGAUGCGCUCUCAAAGAGUCGAGUUGUUUGGGAAUGCAGCUCAAAAUGGGUGGUAAAUUCCAUCUAAAGCUAAAUAUUGGCGAGAGACCGAUAGCGAACAAGUACCGUGAGGGAAAGAUGAAAAGAACUUUGGAAAGAGAGUUAAACAGUACGUGAAAUUGCUGAAAGGGAAACGCUUGAAGUCCGUCAUGUCAUCCAGGGAUCAACCUUGCUUUUGCUUGGUGCACUUCCUGGUUUGACGGGCCAGCAUCAAUUUUGACCGUUGGAAAAAGGCUAGGGGAAUGUGGCAUCUCUGGAUGUGUUAUAGCCCUUGGUCACAUACAAUGGUUGGGAUUGAGGAACUCAGCACGCCGCAAGGCCGGGUGUUCGCACCACGUACGUGCUUAGGAUGCUGGCAAUAUGGCUUUAAUCGACCCGUCUUGAAACACGGACC
Molecule: ribosomal RNA, 763 nt
Filed under: uncultured fungus
Lineage: Eukaryota; Fungi
Description: eukaryotic LSU rRNA
Rfam family: Eukaryotic large subunit ribosomal RNA (bases 78-763)
Source: RNAcentral